CGUUGUUGGGUAGGGGAGCGUUCUGUAAGCCGUUGAAGGUGGCCUGUGAGGGUUGCUGGAGGUAUCAGAAGUGCGAAUGCUGACAUAAGUAACGAUAAAGCGGGUGAAAAGCCCGCUCGCCGGAAGACCAAGGGUUCCUGUCCAACGUUAAUCGGGGCAGGGUGAGUCGACCCCUAAGGCGAGGCUGAAAAGCGUAGUCGAUGGGAAACAGGUUAAUAUUCCUGUACUUGGUGUUACUGCGAAGGGGGGACGGAGAAGGCUAGGCUAGCCGGGCGACGGUUGUCCCGGUUUAAGCGUGUAGGGGGUGUGACCUGGUAAAUCCGGUUGCAUAUCAACCCUGAGGCGUGAUGACGAUGCACUACGGUGCAGAAGUAGUUGAUGCCCUGCUUCCAGGAAAAGCCUCUAAGCUCCAGGUAACAUUGAAUCGUACCCCAAACCGACACAGGUGGUCAGGUAGAGAAUACCAAGGCGCUUGAGAGAACUCGGGUGAAGGAACUAGGCAAAAUGGUGCCGUAACUUCGGGAGAAGGCACGCUGGCAUGUAGGUGAAGUCCCUUGCGGAUGGAGCUGAAGCCAGUCGAAGAUACCAGCUGGCUGCAACUGUUUAAUAAAAACACAGCACUGUGCAAACACGAAAGUGGACGUAUACGGUGUGACGCCUGCCCGGUGCUGGAAGGUUAAUUGAUGGGGUCAGCCGCAAGGCGAAGCUCUUGAUCGAAGCCCCAGUAAACGGCGGCCGUAACUAUAACGGUCCUAAGGUAGCGAAAUUCCUUGUCGGGUAAGUUCCGACCUGCACGAAUGGCGUAAUGAUGGCCAGGCUGUCUCCACCCGAGACUCAGUGAAAUUGAACUCGCUGUGAAGAUGCAGUGUACCCGCGGCAAGACGGAAAGACCCCGUGAACCUUUACUAUAGCUUGACACUGAACAUUGAGCCUUGAUGUGUAGGAUAGGUGGGAGGCUUUGAAGCGUGGACGCCAGUCUGCGUGGAGCCAUCCUUGAAAUACCACCCUUUAAUGUUUGAUGUUCUAACUCGGCCCCAUAAUCUGGGGUGAGGACAGUGUCUGGUGGGUAGUUUGACUGGGGCGGUCUCCUCCCAAAGAGUAACGGAGGAGCACGAAGGUUAGCUAAUCACGGUCGGACAUCGUGAGGUUAGUGCAAAGGCAUAAGCUAGCUUGACUGCGAGAGUGACGGCUCGAGCAGGUACGAAAGUAGGUCUUAGUGAUCCGGUGGUUCUGAAUGGAAGGGCCAUCGCUCAACGGAUAAAAGGUACUCCGGGGAUAACAGGCUGAUACCGCCCAAGAGUUCAUAUCGACGGCGGUGUUUGGCACCUCGAUGUCGGCUCAUCACAUCCUGGGGCUGAAGUAGGUCCCAAGGGUAUGGCUGUUCGCCAUUUAAAGUGGUACGCGAGCUGGGUUUAGAACGUCGUGAGACAGUUCGGUCCCUAUCUGCCGUGGGCGUUGGAAGAUUGAGAGGGGUUGCUCCUAGUACGAGAGGACCGGAGUGAACGCACCACUGGUGUUCGGGUUGUCAUGCCAAUGGCAUUGCCCGGUAGCUAAGUGCGGAAAAGAUAAGCGCUGAAAGCAUCUAAGCGCGAAACUUGCCUCAAGAUGAGUCUUCCCUGGGCCUUUAAGG
This 1630-nucleotide ribosomal RNA is filed under the name Serratia marcescens. RNAcentral describes it as "partial 23S ribosomal RNA". It matches the Rfam family "Bacterial large subunit ribosomal RNA", at positions 1219 to 2833 of the family's 2925-position model. The record is from RNAcentral. Lineage: Bacteria; Pseudomonadati; Pseudomonadota; Gammaproteobacteria; Enterobacterales; Yersiniaceae.